Molecule: ribosomal RNA, 308 nt
Filed under: Mammaliicoccus lentus
Lineage: Bacteria; Bacillati; Bacillota; Bacilli; Caryophanales; Staphylococcaceae
Description: bacterial SSU rRNA
Rfam family: Bacterial small subunit ribosomal RNA
Source: RNAcentral
GUUUAUCCGGAAUUAUUGGGCGUAAAGCGCGCGUACGCGGUUUCUUAAGUCUGAUGUUUACAGCCCACGGCUCAACCGUGGAGGGUCAUUGGAAACUGGGGAACUUGAGUGCAGAAGAGGAGAGUGGAAUUCCAUGUGUAGCGGUGAAAUGCGCAGAGAUAUGGAGGAACACCAGUGGCGAAGGCGGCUCUCUGGUCUGUAACUGACGCUGAUGUGCGAAAGCGUGGGGAUCAAACAGGAUUAAAUACCCUGGUAGUCCACGCCGUAAAAGAUGAUUGCUAACUGUUAGGGGGUUUCCGCCCCUUAUG